UGCAUAUGUGAAGGUGUGGCCUCAUGAAACCACAGCACACUGUUAGGAGCUACCAGCCUGUCACAAGUGGGUGUGAAGGUUGCCUAGAGGAGACUACCAGGAGAUAACACUGAAGGGGUGGAUUAGGAAAGCCCUUGUGCACCAUCUUGAACUUUACCUUGAAUGCAAUGGAGAGCUGUGAAAGGGCUUUAAGCAAGGCCCAGGCCUCACUGAAUCUGUGGUUUAGAAAGAACUCUCUGGUUACAAGAUGGAGCAUGGAUGCAAGCGAGCUAAUUCUACAGUCUCCCCAGUCCAGAGAAACUCUGCUUCAACCUCUCCAGAGACUAGAAACCUCUCAACUCAUGUCAGUGUGGAUGAUGGGCAGGGCCUCAGCUGUGCAGGAUGAAGGAGAAAACGGAAGACAAAUGCUUCCUAAGCAGACUCCCAGCUGAGUUUUUAUAGCCCCACCUUUGCUGCAAUUCCUGGAACCAUCAAUUCCUGAGUAUUUGGGGUGUUCUGCAGUGUAAUAAGUUUGCUUUUCACCUCCCACUCUACCAGCUGAGAAGAAGUCUGCAUUUUUGGAUCUGCAAAGUCAGCUGAAUGUGUCCUCCUCCCUCCAGCUUCCAGGACUGUGUUGUUCUUGUCUCCUCCAUCAUUUUCUUUGUCCUUGUGGGCGUAUGCUCUGUUUAAGCCCCAUUGCUGUUAUUUUUGUUGGCUUUCAAGAGGAAAAGGAGAUAAAUGAAAGUAGUCAAUCUUGUCUUUACCCAAAGUCCUUCACAGGAGGUUAGAAAAAAGUGAACAUCUGGACAAAAUGAGGACUCUUGACUGUAAGGAGGAAGGAAAGAAGUGGCCACUGGGUGGAGAACCAAGUGUAACUUCAUCCAAGUGAAGUGUGAAAACUUCUCUGAAAAAAGAUCAUAUAAAAUCUGGAUUCUCGAUCAUUUGUGCUGUCAGCAUGCAGUUUUUCCAGUUCAGUAAAGUAGGUCAUAUAGGAAUAUUGGAUUCAUCUGUGCCACUCUUGAAGCCUUUGAAGAUUAAUGAGUUUCUGCAAUGCAUGCAAAGUGUUUUAAAUUCUUGGAAGACAAGAUUUGCCUGUUAUGAAACAGCAACAUCCCCAAUUAUCAGCCAUUAAGCUUCCCACCAACCUCAGCCAACAAUCAAAUGCAUGUGAAGGUGAGAGAUGAUGCAGUGGGUCCCCAUCAGUGUUGGAUAUGAUUCCUC
Molecule: long non-coding RNA, 1200 nt
Filed under: Homo sapiens (human)
Lineage: Eukaryota; Metazoa; Chordata; Mammalia; Primates; Hominidae
Description: long non-coding RNA NONHSAT216770.1
Source: RNAcentral